UCCAAAAUAUGAAUUUUUUGGAUUUGAACACAUUCUAUUCUAUUCAUUCUUAAUUUAUCUGUCUGCACCGUAAAAUUUUGAAGAUUUUGCCAUUAUAAUUGCAAUUUUAGAACAUGACAGUUGGAAUCAACAAUGAAAUUCCCAAAUGUAUAAUACCAUCAGAAGAACAUUGCCUGAAGAUGGUCUUUGACACCCUCUGCUAAACAUUGGACAACAAUGUGGACUGGAAUUUCUUUAGAGACACGUACGGAGUUGCUCAUAUUAAACAAUUAAAUCAUGAGAUUACUCUGACGCAGUGGCCCUCACAAUCACCAGACUGCAAUCCUGUUAAACACAUCUGGGACACAUUUACACUCAAAAUCUGGAGGAGCUUGCUAUUUCUCUUAGAGAUAAAUGGCGAACUAUGAAUCAAGAAUUUAUUCUUUCGCAAAUUUUAACUAUCCUAAGAAGAAUGGAAGCUCUUUGUAGUUCAAGGAAGAUUCAUCAAGGAUAAAUUGGAUAAAUGUAGCAGUUAAUUUAAUUAAUUUUGCAUUUUCAAUUCCCCAAGGAAUUUAACGACUCUAGUAUAAUUAGUGGUUUAAAAGUUCUCUUGUUGACGCAAUUUUGUUUAAUUUAUGUUCAUUAAAACUUAAUUUGAUGAUGUAUUUGUUGCAAUUUAUUGAAAUAAUUCAAAGUAUUCACUUUUAGAGUCGUACUGUAUUUUGAUUGUAAAUUAUCUAACAGCAUUUUGCCACCUUAAAAAGGAUAUUUAACUUGGGAAUGGUUUUAAAUAAAACAUCAUUUGGCAUUUAUACAAUUUAUUAUAAUACAGGCUUCAAACAAACAAUAUGCGUAGCAUAACACAUCAGUCUUUACACUUCAAAAGCAAUGAAUAGCAAUUUAUAAUAUACGUUUCUCAGCUUAUCAAUUAAUUAAUGAUUAUACAUUUUUUUUUU
Aethina tumida (small hive beetle) is the source of this 935-nucleotide long non-coding RNA. RefSeq lists it as uncharacterized. The transcript is spliced from 2 exons. The record is from RefSeq and is a predicted model, not a curated record. Lineage: Eukaryota; Metazoa; Arthropoda; Insecta; Coleoptera; Nitidulidae.